Molecule: ribosomal RNA, 477 nt
Filed under: uncultured bacterium
Lineage: Bacteria
Description: partial 16S ribosomal RNA
Rfam family: Bacterial small subunit ribosomal RNA
Source: RNAcentral
ACGCACGCUGGCGGCGUGCUUAACCCAUGCAAGUCGAACGUGAUUUUUGUGGAAAUUCUUUCGGGAAUGGAAAUGAAAUGAAAGUGGCGAACGGGUGAGUAACACGUGAGCAACCUACCUUACACAGGGGGAUAGCCGUUGGAAACGACGAUUAAUACCGCAUGAGACCACAGAAUCGCAUGAUAUAGGGGUCAAAGAUUUAUCGGUGUAAGAAGGGCUCGCGUCUGAUUAGCUAGUUGGAAGGGUAAAGGCCUACCAAGGCGACGAUCAGUAGCCGGUCUGAGAGGAUGAACGGCCACAUUGGAACUGAGACACGGUCCAAACUCCUACGGGAGGCAGCAGUGGGGAAUAUUGCACAAUGGGGGGAACCCUGAUGCAGCGACGCCGCGUGAGCGAAGAAGGUUUUCGAAUCGUAAAGCUCUGUCCUAUGAGAAGAUAAUGACGGUAUCAUAGGAGGAAGCCCCGGCUAAAUACGUG